RNAcentral lists this ribosomal RNA (425 nucleotides) under uncultured bacterium. Its description in RNAcentral is "partial 16S ribosomal RNA". It matches the Rfam family "Bacterial small subunit ribosomal RNA", at positions 354 to 796 of the family's 1533-position model. The record is from RNAcentral.
GUGGGGAAUAUUGGACAAUGGGCGAAAGCCUGAUCCAGCCAUGCCGCGUGAGUGAUGAAGGCCUUCGGGUUGUAAAACUCUUUCGACGGGGACGAUAAUGACGGUACCCGUAGAAGAAGCUCCGGCUAACUUCGUGCCAGCAGCCGCGGUAAUACGAAGGGGGCUAGCGUUGCUCGGAAUCACUGGGCGUAAAGCGCACGUAGGCGGCUUUCUAAGUCAGGGGUGAAAUCCUGGAUCUCAACUCCAGAACUGCAUUUGAUAAUGGAGAGCUUGAGUUCGGGAGAGGUGAGUGGAACUGCUAGUGUAGAGGUGAAAUUCGUAGAUAUUCGCAAGAACACCAGUGGCGAAGGCGGCUCACUGGCCCGAUACUGACGCUGAGGUGCGAAAGCGUGGGGAGCAAACAGGAUUAGAUACCCGGGUAGUCC